This 26-nucleotide non-coding RNA is filed under the name Mus musculus (house mouse). Lineage: Eukaryota; Metazoa; Chordata; Mammalia; Rodentia; Muridae. The record is from RNAcentral.
UGGAGUCUAUUUGUGCACAGUAGAAU